GGGGCUGUACUGGUUUCGACAGGGGCUAUGCAGCUGGUGAAGCUAUCCGCAUGCGGUGCGUGAAACGGCAAAAUUAAAAUUAAACGCUGAAGACAAUUUAGCAUACGCAGCCUAAUUGGCUGCCGUCAGCCUUAGAGCACUCACACUUUAAGAACCUGGCGUCGACGAUGUGAGAAACGACUUAUGCAAAGCUUUGAGCAUAUGGGCGUAUCAUGAAGCUACUGAACUCAUCAGAAUGUCAGUUUUCGGAUGACAGAGGGAAUGUAAAAUAACUGACUAUGAUAGUAGAAGAACAGGGAAUUGGUUUUUGGACACGGGUUCAAAUCCCGUCAGCUCCACUU
This is a non-coding RNA of 341 nucleotides. It matches the Rfam family "transfer-messenger RNA". Rfam says of the family: Bacterial tmRNA, also known as 10Sa RNA or SsrA, is named for its dual tRNA and mRNA-like properties. Its role is to liberate the mRNA from a stalled ribosome. The record is from Rfam.